GUGCUGUAUGAAAGGAGAGAAGGUUAGAGCUCUCCUUGAUAAGGAUGGAAGAGGUCCUGGUGGCCUUUACAACACACAUGCAGUUAAGGCAUUGCCACCUACUCUGUGGCAUCUAACCAUGUUUUUCU
Small nuclear RNA from Monodelphis domestica (gray short-tailed opossum), 128 nucleotides. Lineage: Eukaryota; Metazoa; Chordata; Mammalia; Didelphimorphia; Didelphidae. The record is from Ensembl.